Molecule: ribosomal RNA, 207 nt
Filed under: uncultured bacterium
Lineage: Bacteria
Description: partial 16S ribosomal RNA
Rfam family: Bacterial small subunit ribosomal RNA
Source: RNAcentral
UGCGUAGGUGGCAAGGUAAGUUCGAUGUGAAAUCCCCGGGCUCAACCCGGGAACGGCAUUGAAAACUAUCUAGCUCGAGGAUCGGAGGGGAGACUGGAAUUCUUGGUGUAGCAGUGAAAUGCGUAGAUAUCAAGAGGAACACCAGUGGCGAAGGCGAGUCUCUGGACGAAUCCUGACACUGAUGCACGAAAGCUAGGGGAGCAAACA